CCUUAAAGAACCUGCCUUUGUAGUGCUCACACAGAUUGUCUGAUGAACGUAAAGAAGCAAGGCGUCUUGCGAUUGAGACUUCAGUGUCCCCUUCGUCUAGAGGCCCAGGACACCGCCCUUUCACGGCGGUAACAGGGGUUCGAAUCCCCUAGGGGACGCCACUUGCUGGUUCGUGAGUGAAAGACGCGUGCCGAUGUAUCUCAAAACUCAUCUUCGGGUGACGUUUGAGAUAUUUGCUCUUUAAAAAUCUGGAUCAAGCUGAAAAUUGAAACGACACACAGUUAAUGUGUGUUCGAGUCUCUCAAAUUUUCGCAAUCUGAAGACAUCUUCGGGUUGUGA
Molecule: unclassified non-coding RNA, 339 nt
Filed under: Klebsiella pneumoniae subsp. pneumoniae
Lineage: Bacteria; Pseudomonadati; Pseudomonadota; Gammaproteobacteria; Enterobacterales; Enterobacteriaceae
Description: partial 16S-23S ribosomal RNA intergenic spacer
Rfam family: Salmonella enterica Typhi npcRNA 44 (bases 239-332)
Source: RNAcentral